UACGAAGGGGGCGAGCGUUGUUCGGAUUUACUGGGCGUAAAGGGCGCGCAGGCGGCUCAUUUUGUCAGGCGUGAAAGCCCCGGGCUUAACCUGGGAACUGCGUUUGAUACGGAUGGGCUAGAGUUCGGGAGAGGAGAGUGGAAUUCCCAGUGUAGAGGUGAAAUGCGCAGAUAUCAGGAGGAACACCGGUGGCGAAGGCGGGUCUCUGGGCCGUUACUGACGCUGAGGAGCGAAAGCGUGGGGAGCGAACAGG
This 253-nucleotide ribosomal RNA is filed under the name uncultured bacterium. Its description in RNAcentral is "partial 16S ribosomal RNA". It matches the Rfam family "Bacterial small subunit ribosomal RNA", at positions 524 to 776 of the family's 1533-position model. The record is from RNAcentral.